GGUUAGUGUAUUAACCAUGGGUUAGUGCUAAACGGCAAAAUUAACGAGUAUGUUACGGUGUUAACAAUCUUGAUAAUGGCGUUAAAGAGCCAAAGUGACAUGGACAUAUGGGCUUUCGUAGAGUUAUUAAAAGAGCAAAAAAAAUUAGUUUGUGUUUUUUUAUGGCCACUUUUAAAAGUUGUGUAUUAAGUUGGAAAUAAUAAUUAAAGUUGUGUAUUAA
RNAcentral lists this long non-coding RNA (220 nucleotides) under Brassica napus (rape). RNAcentral describes it as "long non-coding RNA (BNAP_LNC022563)". The record is from RNAcentral. Lineage: Eukaryota; Viridiplantae; Streptophyta; Magnoliopsida; Brassicales; Brassicaceae.